Molecule: small nuclear RNA, 104 nt
Filed under: Catagonus wagneri (Chacoan peccary)
Lineage: Eukaryota; Metazoa; Chordata; Mammalia; Artiodactyla; Tayassuidae
Source: RNAcentral
GUGCUUGCUUUGGCAGCACAUAUGCUAAAAUCGAAACGAUACAGAGAUUAGCAUGGCCCCUGUGCAUGGAUGACACACAAAUUCGUGAAGCACUCCAUAUUUUA